GACGAACGCUGGCGGCGUGCUUAACACAUGCAAGUCGAACGGAAAGGCCCUGCUUUUGUGGGGUGCUCGAGUGGCGAACGGGUGAGUAACACGUGAGUAACCUGCCCUUGACUUUGGGAUAACUUCAGGAAACUGGGGCUAAUACCGGAUAGGAGCUCCUUCUGCAUGGUGGGGGUUGGAAAGUUUCGGCGGUUGGGGAUGGACUCGCGGCUUAUCAGCUUGUUGGUGGGGUAGUGGCUUACCAAGGCUUUGACGGGUAGCCGGCCUGAGAGGGUGACCGGCCACAUUGGGACUGAGAUACGGCCCAGACUCCUACGGGAGGCAGCAGUGGGGAAUAUUGCACAAUGGGCGGAAGCAUGAUGCAGCAACGCCGCGUGCGGGAUGACGGCCUUCGGGUUGUAAACCGCUUUCGCCUGUGACGAAGCGUGAGUGACGGUAAUGGGUAAAGAAGCACCGGCUAACUACGUG
This 468-nucleotide ribosomal RNA is filed under the name uncultured bacterium. RNAcentral describes it as "partial 16S ribosomal RNA". It matches the Rfam family "Bacterial small subunit ribosomal RNA", at positions 28 to 507 of the family's 1533-position model. The record is from RNAcentral.